GAUGAACGCUGGCGGCGUGCCUAAUACAUGCAAGUCGAGCGAACAGAUGAGGAGCUUGCUCCUCUGACGUUAGCGGCGGACGGGUGAGUAACACGUGGAUAACCUACCUAUAAGACUGGGAUAACUUCGGGACACCGGAGCUAAUACCGGAUAAUAUAUUGAACCGCAUGGUUCAAUAGUGAAAGACGGUUUUGCUGUCACUUAUAGAUGGAUCCUCGCCGCAUUAGCUAGUUGGUAAGGUAACGGCUUACCAAGGCAACGAUGCGUAGCCGACCUGAGAGGGUGAUCGGCCACACGGGAACUGAGACAGGGUCCAGACUCCUAAGGGAGGCAGCAGUAGGGAAUCUUACGCAAUGGGCGAAAGCCUGACGGAGCAACGCCGCGUGAGUGAUGAAGGUGUUCGGAUCGUAAAACUCUGUUAUUAGGGAAGAACAAAUGUGUAAGUAAAUAUGCACGUCUUGACGGUACCUAAUCAGAAAGCCACGGCUAACUACGUG
RNAcentral lists this ribosomal RNA (497 nucleotides) under uncultured bacterium. RNAcentral describes it as "partial 16S ribosomal RNA". It matches the Rfam family "Bacterial small subunit ribosomal RNA", at positions 28 to 507 of the family's 1533-position model. The record is from RNAcentral.